CAGCCGCCACGGUAAUACGGAGGGGGCUAGCGUUGUUCGGAAUUACUGGGCGUAAAGCGCACGUAGGCGGCUUGGUAAGUUAGAGGUGAAAGCCUGGAGCUCAACUCCAGAAUUGCCUUUAAGACUGCCGAGCUAGCAGGUGAGAGAGGUAAGUGGAAUUCCGAGUGUAGAGGUGAAAUUCGUAGAUAUUCGGAAGAACACCAGUGGCGAAGGCGGCUUACUGGCUCAUACUGGACGCUGAGGUGCGAAAGCGUGGGGAGCAGACAGGAUUAGAUACCCGCGUAGUCCCUGUCUCUUAUAC
Molecule: ribosomal RNA, 301 nt
Filed under: uncultured bacterium
Lineage: Bacteria
Description: partial 16S ribosomal RNA
Rfam family: Bacterial small subunit ribosomal RNA
Source: RNAcentral